This is a small nucleolar RNA of Zalophus californianus (California sea lion), 135 nucleotides long. Its record names the gene SNORA70. It matches the Rfam family "Small nucleolar RNA SNORA70". From Rfam's summary of the family: snoRNA U70 seems to be exclusive to mammals and is a member of the H/ACA class of snoRNA which contain H (ANANNA) and ACA box motifs. H/ACA box snoRNAs are involved in the conversion of uridines to pseudouridines (5-ribosyluracil) a constituent of structural RNAs (transfer, ribosomal, small nuclear, and small nucleolar). NCBI's taxonomy places the organism in Eukaryota, Metazoa, Chordata, Mammalia, Carnivora, Otariidae. The record is from Ensembl.
CUGCAGCCAAUGAAGCCAACCGUGCUGUCUCCCCAUGGAGGGUCUGAUGUGCAACGGUGGCAAACAGUGGCCUCCUCGGUAGUGUAUGCAGCCUGUUGCUUAUAUGGGUUGCCUUACAGGACCUUGGACAUAGCC